UUUUUUUUUCCUUUUUUUUUUGUCAGUGUUUAAUAUACUUCUUGACACGUUUUAUGGCUCCGUUUGGGAGGCGAAAAAGCUUGUUUGAAACUGCUUUUUGGAAAAACAUCCUUUAAGAUGCUGUUAGAAAAAGCAUUUUGAAAAGCCUUGUAGUUUUUAUGACUAAAACACAUCAAAUUUCUAUUAAAAUCAAAGUUUAAAAGUCCUGAAUAAACAUUUUUAAGAUAUUGCUUUUCUCAAUAGCAGCUCAAACAUCAAUGAUGCAUUUACCCUAAAUCUAGUACAUACACAAAACCAUACUUCUGCUGCAGUGCCAGAGCUUUAGGGUAUGCUCUUACCAGUUAUUAGAUUUCAGGACAAGGGAAAUAUUGGGAAACAGAUCUGCCCUUUAGGACUUCUUUGGUAGAGGUUAACAAUCAAUCAAAUGGAAAUUUAAAUUG
RNAcentral lists this unclassified non-coding RNA (440 nucleotides) under Hevea brasiliensis (rubber tree). Lineage: Eukaryota; Viridiplantae; Streptophyta; Magnoliopsida; Malpighiales; Euphorbiaceae. The record is from RNAcentral.